Long non-coding RNA from Canis lupus familiaris (dog), 1802 nucleotides. RefSeq lists it as uncharacterized. The record is from RefSeq and is a predicted model, not a curated record. NCBI's taxonomy places the organism in Eukaryota, Metazoa, Chordata, Mammalia, Carnivora, Canidae. The transcript is spliced from 3 exons.
AAAGAGAAGUGCGCCCUCCGCAGGUGUGCGCCGCCGUGACCUGGGCGGUCCUGGGGGCGCGUGGGUGGGUGUGUGCACUAGUGUGUAUGUGCUGCGUGUGUGUGGGCCCUGGUGGGGUGAGUCUCUGAGGCCUGGCUUGGCCUGCCCCCACCGCCCCGGGGGCCGGAGCAAAUACACCAAGGGUGUCCUCUGGGGUGGGGGCAGUCUUCCCUGCACCCUCGGGGAGUGACCCGGGCCUUGAUUUCCCCCGCCGUCUCCUUCCUCGGGGCAGACCUGGGCGGCAGGGGGACGGCGCGGGCAGGACUGGACAUGCUGCCGCGGCAGGAUGGACUUGCAAGCGCGUCUCCUGGUGACUCCUGCUGCCCCCCACGCCCUGCCCCGGGGCCCGGGGAGGAGGGAGCCCCUGAACUGACCGGUCGCAUGGCCUGGGACAGUUCACUUGAGCUCCUGAGCUCCUGAAAGGGAAAACUAAUGGUCCCUGGGGUCCUGCCGGGCCCUAGACUGUAAACGCUAGGGCAUGGCUGUGAGCCUCCCCUCGCAGCCCCCCAGACGCCCUGGGGCACCCGCUGCAGCGGGAGUAGAUACCCAGGCCUCCAGGCAGCGCCUUCACCACCAGCUUCAGCUGGGCGAUCUCCAGGGCCUCCCACAGCGUGCUGUCCGAGCACUUCUUCUCCGGGUCCAGGUUAAACCUGGAGGGGGACAGGAAACCCGCUCAGGGAGAAAAGCAGGGCCUGGCAGGGGGAGCAGUGAGUAAGAACAUGGCCUGGGGAGGGGUGGGUGCUGGCUGGAAGGGGGCGGCAGGUGGCAAUGGGUGGAGGACGCAUGCCCAGCCCGAGGGUGGUGCUACCUCCACCAGCGCCUGCCUGGGCCUCACAGGGAAGAGAAAGGCCCAAAGGCAGCACCGUGAGGGAGCAGGUCAGCCCCAGGGCUGCCCACCCAGGGAGGGGUACCCAGCUGGGCACUCUUGGCCUCACCCAGCCGCUCCUCCUUACACCCCAGCUCCAAGGGGCUGGGCCUGGGACCCAGGGGGGUGCCUGCCAGAGUGGUGGGGCUCACCGGAUGGUGCCGCUGAAGAGGACGGGGUCCUGCAGGAUGAUAGAGAGGCGGGAGCGCAGGGUAUGCAGUGGCAGUUUGGCGAUGUCGAUGCCGUCAAUGAUGAUGCGCCCUGUGUGGAGACCGUGUCCCAGGCGAGAGAGAAGGAAGACUUCCCACUGCCUGUGCGGCCGCAGAUCCCAAUCUGGAGAGAGGAGGAAGCACACUCUUUUUGGCCAGGGCUGCUUUCUGCAGAGGAGCCUCCGACGGGGACCCGCAAGCAAGUGCAGGGUACAGAUGUCCAUUUUCCUGGGCCUGGGUGUAGGUCUUGCUGUGCCUGGUAUGUGGCUGCAGGGGAGGUGGGGGCACUGGUGCAUACUCUGUGUGCACGGGUGUGAUGGAGGGCCUGGGAGUGGCUCAGUGCGGUUGGCAGGGAUGGAUCUGUGAGCCCCAUCUUAAACUGGAGUCAUCUCUGACACCAUUGCUUCCCGGCCCACAGGUGCCAACAGAAAUGACAAUCAGGACUAGUAUAGAGAUGGUGACACAGAAGGACAAGAGAGGUGGGGACAGAUGGGAGGAGCCCGAGGCAGGGACAGAGGUACAUCUAAAGGUCAGAGAUAGUGAGGCAGACAGCCACAAAGACAGAGGGGCAGUGGGGAUCCCUGGGUGGCUCAGCGGUUUAGUGCCUGCCUUUGGCCCAGGGCGUGAUCCUGGAGUUCCAGGAUCGAGUCCCACAUCAGGCUCCCGGCAUGGAGCCUGCUUCUCCCUCU